CUUUUAGAACACGUUCCUUCCCGGAACGAGGUAUAGGUGUAAAUCCUAUCUUCCGCUCCAUAAUUGCUUCCAAAGGGAAG
This 80-nucleotide transfer RNA is filed under the name Staphylococcus aureus. RNAcentral's name for it is "tRNA-Tyr-GTA". The record is from RNAcentral. Lineage: Bacteria; Bacillati; Bacillota; Bacilli; Caryophanales; Staphylococcaceae.